CCUACGGGAGGCAGCAGUGGGGAAUAUUGCACAAUGGGCGAAACCCUGAUGCAGCGACGCCGCGUGAAUGAAGAAGGAUUUCGGGAUGUAAAGUACUAUCAGCAGGGAAGAAAAUGACGGGACCUGACUAAGAAGCCACGGCAAACUACGGUCCAGGAGCCGCGGUAAUACGGAGGGGGCAAGGGUUAGCCGGAUGGACUGGGCGGAAAGGGAGCGGAGGCGGUGCAGAAAGAACGAAGUGAAAGCCCCGGGCCCAACUCGGGGACUGCUUUUGAAACUGUUGAACUAGAUUGCAGGAGAGGUAAGUGGAAUUCCUGGUGUAGCGGUGAAAUGCGUAGAUAUUAGGAGGAACACCAGUGGCGAAGGCGGCUUCCUGGACUGUGAAUGACGCUGAGGCUCGAAAGCGUGGGGAGCAAACAGGAUUAGAUACCCCAGUAGUC
RNAcentral lists this ribosomal RNA (440 nucleotides) under uncultured bacterium. RNAcentral's name for it is "partial 16S ribosomal RNA". It matches the Rfam family "Bacterial small subunit ribosomal RNA", at positions 338 to 795 of the family's 1533-position model. The record is from RNAcentral.